ACGUAGGGGCCGAGCGUUGUCCGGAGUUAUUGGGCGUAAAGCGCGCGCAGGCGGCCUCGCGCGCCCGACGUGAAAGCCCCCGGCUUAACCGGGGAGGGUCGUUGGGGACGGCGGGGCUUGAGGGCGGGAGAGGUCGGUGGAAUUCCCGGUGUAGUGGUGAAAUGCGUAGAGAUCGGGAGGAACACCUGUGGCGAAGGCGGCCGACUGGGCCGACCCUGACGCUGAGGCGCGAAGGCGUGGGGAGCGAACGGGA
Molecule: ribosomal RNA, 253 nt
Filed under: uncultured prokaryote
Description: partial 16S ribosomal RNA
Rfam family: Bacterial small subunit ribosomal RNA
Source: RNAcentral